RNAcentral lists this ribosomal RNA (1448 nucleotides) under uncultured organism. RNAcentral's name for it is "SSU rRNA". It matches the Rfam family "Bacterial small subunit ribosomal RNA". The record is from RNAcentral.
AGCUACAGGCUUAACACAUGCAAGUCGAGGGGCAGCAUGGUCUUAGCUUGCUAAGGCCGAUGGCGACCGGCGCACGGGUGAGUAACACGUAUCCAACCUGCCGUCUACUCUUGGACAGCCUUCUGAAAGGAAGAUUAAUACAAGAUGGCAUCAUGAGUCCGCAUGUUCACAUGAUUAAAGGUAUUCCGGUAGACGAUGGGGAUGCGUUCCAUUAGAUAGUAGGCGGGGUAACGGCCCACCUAGUCUUCGAUGGAUAGGGGUUCUGAGAGGAAGGUCCCCCACAUUGGAACUGAGACACGGUCCAAACUCCUACGGGAGGCAGCAGUGAGGAAUAUUGGUCAAUGGGCGAGAGCCUGAACCAGCCAAGUAGCGUGAAGGAUGACUGCCCUAUGGGUUGUAAACUUCUUUUAUAAAGGAAUAAAGUCGGGUAUGGAUACCCGUUUGCAUGUACUUUAUGAAUAAGGAUCGGCUAACUCCGUGCCAGCAGCCGCGGUAAUACGGAGGAUCCGAGCGUUAUCCGGAUUUAUUGGGUUUAAAGGGAGCGUAGAUGGAUGUUUAAGUCAGUUGUGAAAGUUUGCGGCUCAACCGUAAAAUUGCAGUUGAUACUGGAUAUCUUGAGUGCAGUUGAGGCAGGCGGAAUUCGUGGUGUAGCGGUGAAAUGCUUAGAUAUCACGAAGAACUCCGAUUGCGAAGGCAGCCUGCUAAGCUGCAACUGACAUUGAGGCUCGAAAGUGUGGGUAUCAAACAGGAUUAGAUACCCUGGUAGUCCACACGGUAAACGAUGAAUACUCGCUGUUUGCGAUAUACUGCAAGCGGCCAAGCGAAAGCGUUAAGUAUUCCACCUGGGGAGUACGCCGGCAACGGUGAAACUCAAAGGAAUUGACGGGGGCCCGCACAAGCGGAGGAACAUGUGGUUUAAUUCGAUGAUACGCGAGGAACCUUACCCGGGCUUAAAUUGCAGAUGAAUUACGGUGAAAGCCGUAAGCCGCAAGGCAUCUGUGAAGGUGCUGCAUGGUUGUCGUCAGCUCGUGCCGUGAGGUGUCGGCUUAAGUGCCAUAACGAGCGCAACCCUUGUUGUCAGUUACUAACAGGUUCCGCUGAGGACUCUGACAAGACUGCCAUCGUAAGAUGUGAGGAAGGUGGGGAUGACGUCAAAUCAGCACGGCCCUUACGUCCGGGGCUACACACGUGUUACAAUGGGGGGUACAGAGGGCCGCUACCACGCGAGUGGAUGCCAAUCCCCAAAACCUCUCUCAGUUCGGACUGGAGUCUGCAACCCGACUCCACGAAGCUGGAUUCGCUAGUAAUCGCGCAUCAGCCACGGCGCGGUGAAUACGUUCCCGGGCCUUGUACACACCGCCCGUCAAGCCAUGGGAGCCGGGGGUACCUGAAGUGCGUAACCGCGAGGAGCGCCCUAGGGUAAAACUGGUGACUGGGGCUAAGUCGUA